AUUGAACGCUGGCGGCAGGCCUAACACAUGCAAGUCGAGCGGAUGAAGGGAGCUUGCUCCUGGAUUCAGCGGCGGACGGGUGAGUAAUGCCUAGGAAUCUGCCUGGUAGUGGGGGAUAACGUCCGGAAACGGGCGCUAAUACCGCAUACCUCCUGAGGGAGAAAGUGGGGGAUCUUCGGACCUCACGCUAUCAGAUGAGCCUAGGUCGGAUUAGCUAGUUGGUGGGGUAAAGGCCUACCAAGGCGACGAUCCGUAACUGGUCUGAGAGGAUGAUCAGUCACACUGGAACUGAGACACGGUCCAGACUCCUACGGGAGGCAGCAGGGGGGAAUAUUGGACAAUGGGCGAAAGCCUGAUCCAGCCAUGCCGCGUGUGUGAAGAAGGGCUUCGGAUUGUAAAGCACUUUAAGUUGGGAGGAAGGGCAGUAAGUUAAUACCUUGCUGUUUUGACGUUACCAACAGAAUAAGCACCGGCUAACUUCGU
RNAcentral lists this ribosomal RNA (483 nucleotides) under uncultured bacterium. RNAcentral describes it as "partial 16S ribosomal RNA". It matches the Rfam family "Bacterial small subunit ribosomal RNA", at positions 30 to 506 of the family's 1533-position model. The record is from RNAcentral.